This is a non-coding RNA of Rattus norvegicus (Norway rat), 7428 nucleotides long. NCBI's taxonomy places the organism in Eukaryota, Metazoa, Chordata, Mammalia, Rodentia, Muridae. The record is from RefSeq and is a predicted model, not a curated record.
AGCCAAGCCAAGAAGCCAAAGGCAGGACCUGAAGCUGAAGCCAUGGGAGAGCGCUAUUCACAGGCUUGUCCCUCCUGACUUGUUCAGCCUGCAUUUUUUUUAUUAACUUGUGUAUUUCUUAUUUACAUUUCGAUUGUUAUUCCCUUUUCCAGUUUGGUUUCAGGGCCAACAUCCCCCUAGCUCCUUCUCCUCCCCUUCUAUUGGGUGUUCCCCUCCCCAUCCUCCCUCCAUUACUGCCCUCCCCCCAACAAUCAUGUUCACUAGGGGUUCAGUCUUAGCAGGAUCAAGGGCUUCUCCUUCCACUGGUGCUCUUACUAGGCAGUUCAUUGCUACCUAUGAGGUGGAGCCCAGGGUCAGUCUAUGUAUAUAGUCUUUGGGUAGUGGCUUAGUCCCUGGAAGCUCUGGUUGCUUGGCAUUGUUGUUCAUAUGGGGUCUCGAGCCCCUUCAAGCUCUUACAGUCCUUUCUCUGAUCCCUUCAGCUUCUUAGUGAUAGAUUUUAUAUACAUUCAUAAAAUGUAUGGUGUUUGGAGUCUCACAUGAUGGGUAAUAAUUAGUUCAGUGUAGUUAACAUAUCUGUCACUUGUACGACUUCAAAUUGUUAACACAUUAAAAAUCUUUUCUUUAGCUCUUUUGAGAUACAUAAUGCAUUGUUAUUCAUUGUAUUUCCCUGCUACACCAUAGAACACUUAAAUUUCUUCUUCUACACUUAAGUUUACCAAAGGGUCCUCCUUUCUCCAACUUCAUUCUCCACUCUCUCCAAUCUCUUUUAACCAUUAGUGUACUAUGGAUUUGUAUGAUUUCAUUAGAGUUGUAUUAGAGUUGAUCAUAUAUUAUCUAUAUGUCUGAACAUGGCUUAUUACACAUGACAGGAAUCUAAGCAUGUUUAUGGUUAAACUGUAUUCUAUACAACCCCCCUUUUUUAUCAGUCUAUCAAUGCAUCCCCUGAUGCUUUCUUUGUGUGUGUGUAUGUGUAUAUAUUCAUGCUGCUGUUAGGGCCCAUUUCCAAAUAGUUCGCACUUUUAAACAUAGAAAUGAUAAACAUUUCUCUAAUUUAUAAAUGGUUCUAAUUGCAAAACUGAAAGUCAUUCAAUUAUAUAAGUUCUAUUUUGUUUUUAGUCACUGAUUGGUAUUUGUAGAACUAAUUAUGUAGGGCUUUUUGUCUGCAUACACUCUAGCUUAUUUCUCGUAAUAUUCUAUGUGAUUCACAUAUUCUUCACGCCUUAACUUUCAGGUCUUCUUUCUGGUGUCUGGAAGUCUAGUGUCCAAUGUAAUGGUAUUGAUGAGUGGAAGACAUUAAAGAGGCACAUUAGACAUCACAGAUCUGUUGUGCUUUGCCUUGGAGUUAUUUGUAUUUUGAUGCUAUUUCCACUGCCCCAAGGACAGCUGCCUAGUCAGUACUCUGGAAUCAGGCGACUUCACCAAUACCUUCUCCCCAUUGAAUUUGUAAAAUGCAGACCAGUGAAUUCCUUUGCAUGGCCUUACCAUCUCUUCCAGAGCUCUAUAAGAGGCAGGGCAUGAUUUUCACCAAACACCAGGCAGAUUUUCUCCUUUAUCUAUAAAAGCUAUUGGACUGAUGGAUUUGUUGGUGAAAUUAAAGGUAAAUAAGAAAUAAAGUAGGCUUCAGAACUAAUUUCAUCGAUGAAUUAAUUUAAGUAAUUCAAAUGAACAGAAGAGUUUUCAUGUGCAUGCAAUGUGAUUUAGAAAUACAAAUUUAAUAUUUAUACUAAUCUCUUAAAUAUUGGAAUAUUUCAGUGUUUAAGACUAGACUAAGACGUAUUUUUCAAUCCUUUAGUUACCUGUUGUAUAAAACUUCAUCUGUCAAUGCAAGAAUGCAACAUUACCACCUGCUAAGUUUUAAUCAUUAAGACUGUGAUGGAGAGUAUAGUCUGCUAAUUUAUGUAAAAUGCUCCAAUAGCAGAGAUAACUAACUCCUUUUAACAUUUUGUCAUUAAUUAAAAUAGAUUUUUUAAUUACCACCAAAAAGCUUUGUAAUUAGUAGCAUCUAGCUAUUUAACCAGUGACCUCAAGCUUUCUAAUUGACAUAACACCUAAAAAUUACUCAGAGCUUGUUGGAGUGCUAUUUCUUAUCACCAGAUCAUGUCAGAAUCCCACUGGCUUUGGUGUAGAAGAAUUUGUGAAAUCUUUCAAGGAAGGUCUGUGGCCCAGUGCUUUUCAUACACUUUUAUCUGCCUUUGUAUCUGCUAGUAAAAGGAGGUUGACCAAGAAGAGUUUGAGAAGUAAAUUAACAUGUUUUAUAGGAUCCUGGAUUGAGGAAAGAAACAAAUAGUUUUAUAUAUUUUACAUACCAUAUUUUUAUCCUCAUGGAAAAUUAUAAACAGUGAAUUUUCAACAGCACUUCAUUUUCAAUGAUAAAAAUGGCAAAUUAUAAGAAGUUUAAAUGCUGACGUCAUCCCCAUUGGCUCCUGGAAGCCUCUUGCUUCUCUGACAUCUAGGACUUUCUGGUAGCUAUUACAAGUUCCACAUUAUGCACUGCUACACACCUCUGUUCAAUUUCUUGGCACUCAGUAAAUUUCCCCCAUCUCCUCCCAUACCCGAUCCUGCCCCACUUUUCCCUCUAUAUCCCUUCUUCCUCCCAAUCCCCUCCUUCUCUAUCUUCAUUGAUUAUUUUGUUCCUCCUUCUAAGUAGGACUGAAGCAUCCACACUUAGGUCUUUCUUCUUCUUGACAUUUCUAUGGUCUGUGAGUUAUAGCACGGUUGUUUCGAGGUUUUGCCUAAUAUUUUCUUAUCAGUGAGUGCACACAUUAUUCUUUUGUGAUUGGUUUACCUCACUCAGGAUGGUAUUUCCUAGUUCCAUUUGGCUAAGAAUUUCAUGAAAACAUUGUUUUUAAUAGAUGAGUCAUACUCCAUGUGUACUCAUUUUCUGUAUCCAAGCCACUGUUGAGGGACAUCUGGGUUGUCUCCACUUUCUGCCUACUAUACAUAAGGCUGCUAUGAACACAUGAAGAAAAGAGAACCUAUAAAGACAACAUCCAGAGAUUUCCCUGGUUGAGGGAAAGGUCAACCCACCCAUCUCAAAAAUAUUAACCCAUAAUUGCUCCUGUCUUGGGGAAAACAGGGACAAAGAGUGGAACAGAGAAUGAAGGAAAGGGCAUUCACAGACUGUCCACUUGGCGACACAUCCCAUAUGCAGACACCGGACAAAGGCAGUAUUGCUAAUGCCAAGAAAUAUUUGCUGACAGUAGCUUGAUAUAGCUGUCUACUGAGAGACUUUGUUAGAGCUUUACAAAUACAGACGCAGAUGCCUACAGCCAACCAUCAGACUGAGCAUGAGAAUCCCAAUGGAGGAGUUAGGGGAAGGACUGAAAGAGCUGCAAGGGUUUGCAAUCCUGUAGGAAAAACAACUAUAUCAACCAACCAAACCUCUAGAUCCCAAGGACAAAGCCACCAACCAAAGAAUACAAAUGUAGGGAUUCAGCUGCUUAUGUAGCAGAGGAUGGCCUAAUCUGGCAUCAGUGGAAAGGGAGGCCCUUGUUCCUUUGAAGGCUUGAUGACCCAAUGUAGGGGAAUGCUAAGGUGGUGGUAAGGCAGGAGUGGGUGAGUAUGGAAACACCUUCAUAGAAUCAGGGGAAGGGACAUGGGACAGAGGGUUUGUGGAGGAACUCUCUUGUGGAAGAGAGACAACAUUCAAAAUGUAAGUAAAUAAAAUAACCAAGAAAAAAGAAGUUUCAAUGCCCAGAAGUUGAAUUUUAAAAGAGCUAGGCAUAAUAGUUUUUAUUAAUAAUCCUAUUUCAUAAAAGGAGAAUCCACAAAGAUUUUCAAGAGUUUAAUGUCAACAUAGACAGUAAAUUCAGAUUAUACCCUUCCCUAAAUUAGUCCAGAUUAUAUUUGCAAAUGACUUUUUAGAAUAAACUUUUCCCUGAGAUAACACAGCUUACUCUGAGCAUUUGACUUUAUUUUGACUACAAACUUAAAGGAGGACUAUAUUCUUUGGUGGGAAAACAAACAAUUCUAUAUGUCUGACAUAGUCUAUGUAUGACUCACAGACUGAUAAGUAACUUAUUUCUGAAAAUGAAAAGAUAUCACACUAUCAAUUUAUUUAAAAAUUUGGAGUAUUUGCAAAAAUAAGUGUAGUAAAAUCACAGCCACAAAAAAAAAAAAGGGUGAGAACUUAACGAGCCCACUAGACAAGGGUAGCAACCUCCAGAUGAAGAUAUAACAGUGUGAUUAUGAUGGACCACAUCAGCCUGUCAUUGAAUCACCUAGUGUAUGUUUCACAGGAACACAUGAGCAGAAAUUUUGACUGUCCCAGAAGCUUCAUUAAGCCUCUGUCUUCAUUACUAGUAUGGAUUAUACAAAUUGUUUUUCAUCCAUCCCUCAGCUCAUCUGUCUUGGUUUGAAAAUUGCCCUUUCCUUGGAGUUGACAGAUAAUGCCUGAGUCACUUGACUGAAGAAAAAUGAAUUUCCCUGUCCUAGCAGGCAUCACAUUUUAAGUAGCUUCUUGGCUGGGGGUGGGGAUUUGGUCCCACUUAUUCAACUCAUUGCUCAGGUUUUACCUGUUUGAACUUAAGCUGGUCUUGUGCAUCAUGAGACUUUUCUUUUCUUUUCUUUUCUUUUUUCCCCUUAUGUUGUUGUGGAAUUGCUUUUAUUUUGUAGCAGAGCAUGCCACCUCUUUAAUGUCUGAUGAUUUCACAGUAACUUUUCACAGAGCACAGUACAAUUCUUUACAGUAGGAAGAAACUCACUUUAAUAAGACACUACACAAACACAGAACAAUGUGUAUUGCUUUAGGUUACUCUCUUUGCUAAUAACCAGAAGAGUGUUUCUUUUUCCCCAUGUACAGUUAGCUUUAAACAUCCUAGGUGUUACCUCUAGGAUAUUUUUAAAUUUUGUAUUUAUUUUUACACUCCAGAUUUUAUUUCCUUCCUGACCCAGUUCCACAUCCCAUAUGCUCCCACCCCCAUCCCACUCCCAUCUCCAGAAGUAUGUCCCCAACCACUCAUCUUACCAUACCUCUCAACGUCCUGGGACCAUCUUCUCUGUACCCAGACCCAGGAGUCUUCUGCUGCAUGUGUAUUAUGGGCUUCUCAUAUCAGCUGGUAAAUGCUCCCUGGUUGAUGAUCUAGUGUCUGAGAGAUCUCGGGGGUCCAGGUUAAUUGAGAUAGCUGGUCCUCCUACAGGGUGGCCUUCUUCCUCAGCUUCCUCCAGCUUUUCCAGAAUUCAGUAGAGGGGUCAGCAGCUUCCAUUCAUUGGGUGGGUGCACAUACCUGCAUCUGACUCUUUCAGCUGCUUGCUAGGUCUUUCAGAGGGCAGUCACGAUAAGUCCCUUUUUGUGAGUACUCCAUAGCCUCAGUAAUUGUUAGGUUUUGGUGCCUCCCCCUUCAGCUGGAUUCCACUUUGGGCCUGUUGCUGAACCUUCUUUUCCUAAGGCUCUUCUCCAUUUCCAUCCCUGCAUUUCUUUCAGACAAGAAGAAUUAUGGGUCAGAGUUUUAACUGUGGGAUAGCAAUCCUAUUCCUCACUUGGUGUCCUGUCUUUCUACUGGAGGUUGGCUCAACAAGUUCCCUCUCCCAACUAUAGGGCAUUUUUUCAUCUAGGGUCUCCCACUUUGAGUCCUGAGAGUCUCCCACUUCCCAGGUCUUUGGUAUAUUCUGGAGGGUCCUCCCAACCUCUUUCCUCCGAAGGUUGCUUGGUUCCUUUGUUUCUGCUGGCUCUCAGGUCUUCAGUAGUUUUCUCCCACUCAAUACCAGAUCACAUUCCUCUCUCCCUGAGCCCAUGCCCUUUUCCUUCCCCUUUCCACUCUCCCUUCUCCCUUGUUGCUUUCUUCUCCUUCCAAGGGGGAAUGAGGUGUCCUCACUUGGGCUCUUCAACUUGUUGAACUUUUGAAUUCUGUUGACUGUACCUUGGGUAUUCUGUAAUUUUUUUAGGUGGGGCUAGUAUCCACCUAUUAGUGAGAACAUACCAUGGAUGUGCAUGUCCUUUUGGGUCUGAAUUUCCUCAUUCAGGAUGAUAUUUUCUAGUUCUGUCCACUUGCCUGCAAAAUUCAGUACAUCCUCCUCCUUAAUAGCUGAGUAGUAUUCCAUUGUGCAAAUGAACCACAUUUCCUGUAUCCAUUUUUUUUGUCCUGGGACAUAUGGGUUGUUUCCAGCUUCUACCUAUCACAAAUAAGGCUGUUAUGAGACUUUCAAAACAAACUAAAAUUCUCUCUAUCUUUAUCCUUCACAAAUGGCUUUUGAGAAUUCCAUUACUACCUCUUUUAACUGUUUGGGACUGCUCUGUAGUCUACACACAACAUAUAUUUGGCCCAUAGUUUACCUUAGAACAUCAAUCAUUCAAUUUUAAAAGUUGGAAAUUAGUUCCCAGAUUUUUGUAAACAUACCUAAAUGGUGAGUUCUUUUGCUUUAUUGUUUUAAUAUUUUUCUAACAAAUUGCUUUUGUCUUAAGUUCCCUAUUUUGUUGUCAUCAUAAUGACUAUUAUAGGGGAUAAUAUCUACUAAAGUAUAUUAAUCUCAAAAAGUGUGUGGCUCAUAGCAAACUCUUAUACAAAAAUGAGAUAUACAUUUAAUAAUGCUUUCAUUGAACAAAUAGAAACAUUUUAAAUUAUUAAUACUCCUAAAAUAAUUGUAGGUAAUGUAAAGAUGUUAAUAUUUGGCUAACUUUAUCUGGAAACUUUAUGUGUACAGCUUAAUUUUUCUAUUAGGUGCAACUUUCUCUUUACAAUAUUUUAUUGUGAUGAAUAUAUUUUUAAUUGAGCAAAUGCAUAUCCAAUGUACAUGUAUGUGGCUAGAAAGUAUAUUACAUUUGUUAGAAUGAUUCAUCAGUAGGAACCUCUUGACUAUCAGGUUUAGUGUAAAAAGUGAUAAGUACCCAAAUCUGAAAAUACUGGCUUUUAAAGCACACAAGGGAAGCUGUAAAAUCCCAGCUUCCAGGUGGGAGAACAGCAAUUCAAAUAUUUAUUAGUCCAGCUUCCUAACCUCUGAAACUUUAAAGGAGAGUUGUGCUAUUUAAUGUGUUUUUAUUUUCCUCAGUGGGAAAGUACAUUCUGCUAUCAUUGAAACUCAAGAUUUCUUAAAAAAUUCCUCUUUGUACCCAGGAUGAGUCUGAUAUUCACACUUUUAUAAAGGAAUAUGUGAAGCAAGAGACCAAUCUUUGUGUAUAAAGAAUUGUUUCUUUUAUGGAGAAAAAUAUUUUAAGAGAACCACUGAAUUCAUGUCACCAUGCUAAGUUCUCUUAGUAUAUGACUUCUCUGUCAUUUUCUUAAUUAUUAAGCAGACAUAAAUCAUACUUAUCACUAUUAUGUGCCAAUAGUUGUUCUAGACAUUUUGUGCAUUAAAAUGUUUGAAAUAUCCUUCAAGUAUUACCUGGUUACCCCUUUUUUUCUUUCAGAUGAACCCAAUAUGCUAAAAAUCACAGUCUUUAUAGUAUACUUUGUCUUAAAAUCUAUUGAAAUAAAAUAUGUACAUGGCUUCAAA